This 430-nucleotide ribosomal RNA is filed under the name Pseudomonadota bacterium. Its description in RNAcentral is "Proteobacteria bacterium partial 16S ribosomal RNA". It matches the Rfam family "Bacterial small subunit ribosomal RNA", at positions 355 to 776 of the family's 1533-position model. Lineage: Bacteria; Pseudomonadati; Pseudomonadota. The record is from RNAcentral.
UGGGGAAUAUUGGACAAUGGGGGGAACCCUGAUCCAGCCAUGCCGCGUGUGUGAAGAAGGCCUUAUGGUUGUAAAGCACUUUAAGCGAGGAGGAGGGUACUGGUAUUAAUACUACCAGGUACUGGACGUUAUUCGCAGAAUAAGCACCGGCUAACUCUGUGCCAGCAGCCGCGGUAAUACAGAGGGUGCGAGCGUUAAUCGGAUUUACUGGGCGUAAAGCGUGCGUAGGCGGCUGAUUAAGUCGGAUGUGAAAUCCCUGAGCUUAACUUAGGAAUUGCAUUCGAUACUGGUCAGCUAGAGUAUGGGAGAGGAUGGUAGAAUUCCAGGUGUAGCGGUGAAAUGCGUAGAGAUCUGGAGGAAUACCGAUGGCGAAGGCAGCCAUCUGGCCUAAUACUGACGCUGAGGUACGAAAGCAUGGGGAGCAAACAGG